UGCACACUUAUUAUCGGGUAUACUUGCCU
Molecule: small RNA, 29 nt
Filed under: Bombyx mori (domestic silkworm)
Lineage: Eukaryota; Metazoa; Arthropoda; Insecta; Lepidoptera; Bombycidae
Description: ovarian small RNA-33435
Source: RNAcentral